Molecule: ribosomal RNA, 458 nt
Filed under: uncultured bacterium
Lineage: Bacteria
Description: bacterial SSU rRNA
Rfam family: Bacterial small subunit ribosomal RNA
Source: RNAcentral
CAUGCAAGUCGAGCGGUAGAAAGUAGCUUGCUACUUUGAGAGCGGCGGACGGGUGAGUAAUGCGUGGGAAUCUACCUGGGUAUGGGGGACAACAGUUGGAAACGACUGUUAAUACCGCAUACGCCCUACGGGGGGAAAGCGGGGGAUCUUCGGACCUCGUGCUAUCAGAUGAGCCCGCGUGAGAUUAGCUAGUUGGUGGGGUAAAGGCCUACCAAGGCGACGAUCUCUAGCUGGUCUGAGAGGAUGAUCAGCCACACUGGGACUGAGACACGGCCCAGACUCCUACGGGAGGCAGCAGUGGGGAAUAUUGGACAAUGGGCGCAAGCCUGAUCCAGCCAUGCCGCGUGUGUGAAGAAGGCCUUCGGGUUGUAAAGCACUUUCAGCGAGGAGGAAAGGUUGUAGCUUAAUACGCUGCAGCUGUGACGUUACUCGCAGAAGAAGCACCGGCUAACUCCGUG